Manis javanica (Malayan pangolin) is the source of this 67-nucleotide non-coding RNA. The record is from the annotation of a RefSeq genome assembly. Lineage: Eukaryota; Metazoa; Chordata; Mammalia; Pholidota; Manidae.
AGGGACUUAGGCUACACAGACCGAGAGCCUUCAAAGCUCUAAGCAAAUACAAACUAUUUAGUCCCUG